AUGCACGCUGGCGGCGUGCCUAAUACAUGCAAGUCGCGCGAACAGAUAAGGAGCUUGCUCCUUUGACGUUAGCGGCGGACGGGUGAGUAACACGUGGGUAACCUACCUAUAAGACUGGGAUAACUUCGGGAAACCGGAGCUAAUACCGGAUAACAUUUGGAACCGCAUGGUUCUAAAGUGAAAGAUGGUUUUGCUAUCACUUAUAGAUGGACCCGCGCCGUAUUAGCUAGUUGGUAAGGUAACGGCUUACCAAGGCAACGAUACGUAGCCGACCUGAGAGGGUGAUCGGCCACACUGGAACUGAGACACGGUCCAGACUCCUACGGGAGGCAGCAGUAGGGAAUCUUCCGCAAUGGGCGAAAGCCUGACGGAGCAACGCCGCGUGAGUGAUGAAGGGUUUCGGCUCGUAAAACUCUGUUAUUAGGGAAGAACAAAUGUGUAAGUAACUGUGCACGUCUUGACGGUACCUAAUCAGAAAGCCACGGCUAACUACGUG
This 496-nucleotide ribosomal RNA is filed under the name uncultured bacterium. RNAcentral's name for it is "partial 16S ribosomal RNA". It matches the Rfam family "Bacterial small subunit ribosomal RNA", at positions 29 to 507 of the family's 1533-position model. The record is from RNAcentral.